ACCUGGGUGGCUCAGUUGGCUGAGCAUCUGACUUCAGCUCAGGUCUUGAUCUCACGGUUCAUGGGUUCAAGCCCCACAUCAGGCU
RNAcentral lists this transfer RNA (85 nucleotides) under Felis catus (domestic cat). It matches the Rfam family "tRNA". From Rfam's summary of the family: Transfer RNA (tRNA) molecules are approximately 80 nucleotides in length. Their secondary structure includes four short double-helical elements and three loops (D, anti-codon, and T loops). Further hydrogen bonds mediate the characteristic L-shaped molecular structure. tRNAs have two regions of fundamental functional importance: the anti-codon, which is responsible for specific mRNA codon recognition, and the 3' end, to which the tRNAs corresponding amino acid is attached (by aminoacyl-tRNA synthetases). tRNAs cope with the degeneracy of the genetic code in two manners: having more than one tRNA (with a specific anti-codon) for a particular amino acid; and 'wobble' base-pairing, i.e. permitting non-standard base-pairing at the 3rd anti-codon position. Lineage: Eukaryota; Metazoa; Chordata; Mammalia; Carnivora; Felidae. RNAcentral also lists the same sequence under 1 other name. The record is from Rfam by way of RNAcentral.